Alexandromys fortis (reed vole) is the source of this 1234-nucleotide long non-coding RNA. RefSeq lists it as uncharacterized. NCBI's taxonomy places the organism in Eukaryota, Metazoa, Chordata, Mammalia, Rodentia, Cricetidae. The transcript has 2 exons. The record is from RefSeq and is a predicted model, not a curated record.
CCAGCAGUGAGCGUCACACAUCCAAAUGUAAGUGAAUACAAAGUUGGGGAACACGGAGUCCAGACCGUCUCUCCUACGAUGAUUUCAACAUGCAGCUAGUUCCCAUGACAGAAGCUCAGAACAACACGUUCCAGGAUCUUCUCAGGCUCCCAGUUGCAGAAAUGUCGGUGAGACUAGAGCCCCCGGUUAUGACAAUGAGGAGCCUUCUGAAGACCAAGACCCAAAUAUAAACUCACUAUGCUCAGGUUUGUUUAACUAGUAAAGCCCUGGCCCACUGGGCUCCAACUGAACUCUCGAUCACUCCAGCUGCUGAGGGUGAUGACCCCUGGGGGAGGGAGGAAGAACAGAGGGUGUGGGCAGAAUGGACACUUGCCAGAUUCUCUGGGGAGAGAGAUGCCCUUCUUCCCUCAUCUCCCACCAUGCACCACGGUGCACACUGUCAUUUGCUUGUGAAGGGCAAGGAAGAGGCUAUCUGAUGAUAUUAAAUAGGGAACUGAGAAGGGAAAAAGAGAUCUAAAUGGUGUAUGACCAUUGCCUACGUCUCUGUUCUCCUGCCAUAAAGGUCCUAGAAAGAAUGUUCUGGAUUUACCUGUGCCAUGUGACUAAGAAGAAAAAAAAUCCCAGGGGUGUAGAGUCUUGGCCCUAACAUUUUAGAAGACUGUAAACUAAAUAUCUGAACAGAACAGGGCCUAGAUGUUUCGUAAAUAUGACUUGAAAUGAUCUUGUCUAAAAUAAGGGCAAUUUGAAAACUCUGAGUUGAGUUUCCCAGGCUCGGCUUUUGGUCAAGUAUUGCAGUUGUUUAGGCUUCCUGGCCUCAAGUUUAAUUUAAAAAAAAAAAAAAGUGACAUAAUCCUCCUUGUGAGCUCUGCAAGAAGCAAUCAGCCACCUCGUGUCCUGAGUGCCGCCCAUCGCGGAGACGUGCUGAGAGCUCUAAAAUACCCUGGUGUGUAUCUCAGAAGACAGAUGUGACUGCAGUCUGGUGUGUAUCUCAGAAGACAGAUGUGACUGCAGUCUGGUGUGUAUCUCAGAAGACAGAUGUGACUUCAGUCUGUUUCAUAAGAAGCUGCCAGAGCCAUAAAAUCACAAAACUGAAGUGCUCAGAACCUGUGAGACGCCAUUGUCCUGUUUCUCAUUUGUACAAUGAAUAUGCUGAACGAGAACAUCUUUUAGUAUCCUCACAACUGUGGAAGUCCCCAAUUAAGCAUGCACAUAUAAUAAAGCUAUACCCAUGGCA